UUGCUUUGGCAGCAGAUAUACUAAAAUUGGAAUGAUAUAGAGAUUAGCAUGGCCCUUGGGCAAGGAUGACUUGCAAAUUCAUGAAGCAUAUUAAAAAAAA
This is a small nuclear RNA of Oryctolagus cuniculus (rabbit), 100 nucleotides long. Lineage: Eukaryota; Metazoa; Chordata; Mammalia; Lagomorpha; Leporidae. The record is from Ensembl.